AAAACAAAAUUUUACAGCCAUUGAAGUAUAUUCAAACCAAGAAAAUGGCAGCUCACAGCAUGUCUACACAACACCAUGCAAGUCUUAUUGACCUUACUUUGUGAGGAGGCAGCCUUCCAUUUUCACAACCAAGCUACCCAGAAGUUUCCUACCCAGAGAUGAUGAGGUGAUAGGAAAAGUUUCCACACUUAAUAGACUGUUAUGAACUUCGGCCGCCUUAAAGCAACAGAUGCAUGUUUCAAAGUGGUAAGCAGGAAAUGGAGUGAUAUGAGAGAGCAUGCUGCCAUAACCAUUUAAAAAGAAAUAUGUCGGCAAGAACAAAGCACCAUGCUGAGAAACUACCUUUGUAGCUCCUAGAAAGUGCAAUAUAGUAUAACUGGGGUUGAGUAUUAAAGGACUCCACUGCAAGGGAAAAAAACAAAACACAACAAAACACAAUUUGGGCUCAUUCAAGAAAAGUGGCACAAGUAAAAACCAAGGAGAAGAAUAAAAAUGCUUCUAUAAACCCUUUCUUCCACUUUCGGUGAGUGUUAGUCACAGGUUCAUUCGUUGCUCAGCUCAUCACCUCCGCAUUGUGGAUUAUGUAUCCCAACCCAAAUACACCUUGAAAGUAAUAUAUAAUGUGACUUGAGGAAGACAUCUGUGUAGGAACAUGGAAAUCCUAUGGAACACUUUCUUUUUCACAUUUUGAUUUAUUUCUGGUUCAAGUUUUAAACAAAUUCUGAAUUUUAUUGUUUCCCUCAAGCCUGAUAAAUGCUAGAGAUCCUACUACUUUCUUAACCUGGGAUUCCUAGAAAUUCAAGAAUCAUUUUCUAACGUUUACAUUUGUGUGCAAUUGUGCCAGAGGAAGCAUUUCAACAAACAGCAUGGGCAGAAACCAAGGAUUAAACACAGAACAUCACAGAAUAAAACUUCACUACUCUUAGAAAUUAGAAUCCUUAGUGCCCCUCCCAUACCAGCCGAUGUACAGCUAAACAUUAUACCCUCUAAUUCA
Molecule: long non-coding RNA, 994 nt
Filed under: Lynx pardinus (Iberian lynx)
Lineage: Eukaryota; Metazoa; Chordata; Mammalia; Carnivora; Felidae
Source: RNAcentral